UGGAUUUAUGUCCGCAAGUAACAGAGUAGGCGGGAAAGUAAAGUAAUUUUUACCAUAACAUCUAUUUUUGCUUUGGCAAUUGCACUUAUUAUAUCAACUCCCUUUCCUGUGGGCAUUUUUCUAGUUUCUUAUGUGAAGAACAAAAAUGGAAUAUUUAAGAGCAGAACUCAACUAACUUGGUAUACAUAAGAAAGAAGCAAUCACAGUCAAUGCAAAACAAAAAAUGUCAACAGUUUCCCAACUGAAAUCCUUUCCGCAAAUGAAAAUUAGAACAAAUACAUCCAUACAAUUCAAGAGAACAGUUAUGAAGAUUUCCUGCAAAAUUUCACCAAAUGUCUACAGUGCAGAGCAAUAUUAUUUCACUUAUUGGAAACACAUUUAAUGAGAUACAGGAAUUUAGCCUGCAAGUUCAGUGGCUCUUCAUGAAUGUUAAGUUCAGAUUGGACAUUAAGUAUUAACAUUUGAAGACAAAAAUAUGAAAAGAAUAUAAUCAUCUCUCCCUCAACUAGAUCUGCAAAGUGGACAUUUUUUAAAUCUCAUAAGAAUUUGGUGAAGUGAACCUUCAGUGGAUUUUCAAGGACAACUACAAAAAUGAAUACAGACCUCCACAUGGUCAAAUAGUGCUACAUGACAGAAGAUUUAUUUUAGACAGGGAUAGUUCUGUGAGUCUUCGACAAGACCGAUUUGGAGUUAGCAGAGAUUGGCACAAUCUCCAGAUGCUAUGCAGUGAUGGUAUCAUUGGAUCUGCAAUUUGGUUCAAAUAAUUGGGGAAAAGGACUGAUUCCAAAUGUAAUUCCAAAAUGUACCCUUUGGAACAAUCUACCCCCAGAGAUACGAGUGAUCUCCAACCUCCGGACUUUUCGUCGGGCCCUAAAAACUUAUUUUUUUCAGUUAGCCGGUCUGUCCUGAUUUUAUGGUUGGUUUUAAAAUUUGAUACGGAUUUUUAAAUUGAUAAGUUUUAAAUUACGGGCCAAAUUUAUUUAAUUAUUUUAAAUCU
Molecule: long non-coding RNA, 997 nt
Organism: Pantherophis guttatus
Lineage: Eukaryota; Metazoa; Chordata; Lepidosauria; Squamata; Colubridae
Source: RefSeq, a predicted model, not a curated record